AGAGUCCAGCGCAUAACCUCCCGGGCUACCAAGCCUGUGGCGGAAUGUUGCGUUAAGGGAAAGGUCGUUUAUAUGCCCCGCGCAGCGUGUUCCUAAAUACGCCUUGAAUAUUCACUGAUUCUUAACGGAGUCAACGGUUCCACAGAGGGUGACAGACCCGUGCGGCCACGUGAUUAUUUGCGCAUGGGUUCGGCUUCUAUUCCCGGAGAGUCGCGUUGCUUGAGAAUGCAGCGCUAAGCAGGUCGUAAACUCGACCUAAGACUAAAUAUCUCCACAGAACCGAUAGCAAACAAGUACCGUGAGGGAAAGUUGAAAAGCACUCUGAAGAGAGAGUCAAAAGACCGUGAAACCGUUUAGAGUAUAAUCCAAUGGUAUUCCGGAAGGCCGGAGCGAGACCCCUGACCUUGUGGAUCCAUGGGUACCGUGUGUGAUAAGUCAUAAGGCGGAUGUGGAAAAAGUGGCAUUGAGUUGAUAACACACCAAGGUUAACUUGCGGGUCUCUGACAGUGGUAACAGGGGAAGCUCCAAUGCGGAGUGGAACCGAGGCUGGACUUGAGCAAGCAUCCGUUUAUGAUCACACUAACGAGUCGCUUAAAUGGCCCACCACAACUCUUUGUAAGGUCACCCGUACUAAGGCUUGAAAUGUGCGUUGUCGUGUGCGAGCCCUCGGCCUUCAAAUUGUGCGCUGUCGAGGCCGGCCGACUUCCUCUUGCCUUCCAAAGUACGUUUGGUAUGAUCCUAUGCGAAGAGUUGCUUUCUGGCACAUCCAAGAUAUUCGGUGGGGAACGUUGCAUUAACGGGACCUCUAGAAAGGGUGUACGGCGAUGGCCUCUCUGCCUGUCCUGUUAUCCGUGAGGGUGAAUGGUGAUAAUUUCCGGGACCAUUGGUCACGUCUCGAAACACGGGCCAAGGAGCAUAGCAUGUGCGCAAGUCUAAGGGUCUCACAAAACCCGGUGGCGAAGUGAAAGCAAAUGGUGUGUCCGUUGUUGUCGUUGGUGGCGGCGGCGGGCAGUCUGCGACGGUGUAAUUCCUAUUUGGAUGUAUGCACCGCCGGCUUAUACUGGGCUUAUCCAACGUAAAUAAGACAUAAUGUCGAUGCGAUGGCGCCAGCCCCAGGCUUUCUGACAACACUCGCCGUGUGUUUGGAAGCACUGUAUAGCGUGCAUGCUAUAACCCGAAAGAUAGUGAACUAUGCCUGGCGA
RNAcentral lists this ribosomal RNA (1202 nucleotides) under Eusirus giganteus. RNAcentral describes it as "partial 28S ribosomal RNA". It matches the Rfam family "Eukaryotic large subunit ribosomal RNA", at positions 104 to 843 of the family's 3401-position model. Lineage: Eukaryota; Metazoa; Arthropoda; Malacostraca; Amphipoda; Eusiridae. The record is from RNAcentral.